GUGCUCGCUUCGGCAGUACAUUUAAUAAACUUGGAACCAUACAGAGAAGAUUGGGCUUGCCCUUGCCAAAGGAUGACAGGCACAUUGACGAAUCGUUCCAAAACGAU
Molecule: small nuclear RNA, 107 nt
Filed under: Catagonus wagneri (Chacoan peccary)
Lineage: Eukaryota; Metazoa; Chordata; Mammalia; Artiodactyla; Tayassuidae
Source: RNAcentral